GCAACGUGGGCAUCCUGUGAGGUUGCUCUCACAUGGCUCUGUCAGUGUGGCAUAUGGGAGCGCAGCACUUUGGUGCCAUGACGUACAGUCCCGUUCCACGACGUUGGACAGCAAACUAGUCCCCAGCCCUUGGGUUGGUGUGGACAGUGUCCUGUAUAUUCCUACACCUUCCCAGAGCUUAUGCCAUUACUGGGGAGGUAAACCAUGCAGCUCACACCA
Small nucleolar RNA from Scleropages formosus (Asian bonytongue), 219 nucleotides. Its record names the gene SNORA73. It matches the Rfam family "Small nucleolar RNA SNORA73 family". From Rfam's summary of the family: U17 (SNORA73A and SNORA73B) also known as E1 belongs to the H/ACA class of small nucleolar RNAs (snoRNAs). Vertebrate U17 is intron-encoded and ranges in length from 200-230 nucleotides, longer than most snoRNAs. The record is from Ensembl. Lineage: Eukaryota; Metazoa; Chordata; Actinopteri; Osteoglossiformes; Osteoglossidae.